AGCCCCUGGCAAUGGGCAGAGAGACACCUUGUUUGUGGUGAUGUUCUUUUAUCAGUCAGGGACAGAGCUGAUGGCAGGUCUCUGUUCAUCCUAGUUUGAUGCCUGGCUUGGUGGUCAAAGCUGUACUCUGCCUAGGACACAUUC
Molecule: small nucleolar RNA, 144 nt
Organism: Acomys russatus (golden spiny mouse)
Lineage: Eukaryota; Metazoa; Chordata; Mammalia; Rodentia; Muridae
Product: small nucleolar RNA SNORA48
Exons: 1
Source: RefSeq, a predicted model, not a curated record